ACUUAAAAAAGAAUUUUAAAAAUACUAUUUUUUGUUUUUGUAGAUACAUGGAGCUAAUACAAACUAUUUCCAUUUGAUAAAUCACAGUUUGGGGUGUGUGUUAACUCAUCUUGCUGUACAACCUCUUUGCAAUAUCAGACACAUUACAUAUCUGGAUGCUGCAGGGCCAAGGUUUAAAUCAAUACUACGAUUCCUGCGACCAUCGAAUACCGACGCUUAUUUCGUUGAAGCAAUUCAUACUAAUGGAGCUAUUUCAGAAAAAGAAGGAGAAGGAUUAAUACCGCCUAUUGCAGAUAUCGAUUAUUAUCCAAAUGGAGGUCAAUUGCAGCCAAAAUGUGUAAAGGGAGCAAGAUUUCGAACUGAGACUGGAGAAAUUGAUACGGUGACAUCUCAGAGUAAAAAGAAUAGUUGUAACCACAAUCUGUCAUUUUUCUACUAUAUUGCCAGUUUCAACAAAACCUGCCAAUUCUUAGGACGCAUCUGCGAUAGUUAUGAAGACUUUAACGCAGGAAAAUGCUCCAGCGCACCUGUGUGCAGAAUGGGUUUCUAUUCCAAGAAGUUACCGAAUCUCCCUGCCCAUUCUAAAUGCUACCUGAAAACUUCAGCCGAGUUUCCUUACUGCCUUGAUUAAUGCAACAGCUACAGAGUGUCCGAAAUUAGAUUGAUGUUCUUAAAAAAUUAUAAUUAAAAUAAUGGUCAAAACUGGUAAAUAAAUCAAUAAAUGUUGUUUAAAAGUCAUAUUUUAAAUAAAUAUAUACUUAAUAAAUGCAAUUCUCAGUGAAAAUUUCUAUACUUUGGACAUAGUUAAAACUGUACAAUUUAAGUAACCUGAAUAUUCACUUAUCUUUAAAAAAAUGAACUAAAACAAGCAUUCAGAAA
Molecule: non-coding RNA, 879 nt
Organism: Parasteatoda tepidariorum (common house spider)
Lineage: Eukaryota; Metazoa; Arthropoda; Arachnida; Araneae; Theridiidae
Source: RefSeq, a predicted model, not a curated record